This 465-nucleotide ribosomal RNA is filed under the name uncultured bacterium. RNAcentral's name for it is "partial 16S ribosomal RNA". It matches the Rfam family "Bacterial small subunit ribosomal RNA", at positions 338 to 795 of the family's 1533-position model. The record is from RNAcentral.
CCUACGGGAGGCAGCAGUGGGGAAUAUUGCGCAAUGGGCGAAAGCCUGACGCAGCGACGCCGCGUGAGGGAUGAAGGUCUUCGGAUCGUAAACCUCUGUCAGCAGGGAAGAACGGUCACUGUGCUAAUCAGCAGUGAAUUGACGGUACCUGCAAAGGAAGCACCGUCUAACUCCGUGCCAGCAGCCGCGGUAAUACGGAGGGGGCGAGCGUUCAUCGGAAUUACUGGGCGUAAAGCGCUCGUAGGCGGUAUGGCAAGUCAAGGGUGAAAGCCCCGCGCUCAACGGGGGAAGUGCCUUUGAAACUGGCAAACUGGAGUGGGUGAGAGGAGAGUGGAAUUCCAGGUGUAGGAGUGAAAUCCGUAGAUAUCUGGAGGAACAUCAGUGGCGAAGGCGACUAGCUGGAACAUAACUGACGCUGAGGAGCGAAAGCGUGGGUAGCAAACAGGAUUAGAUACCCGUGUAGUC